This is a long non-coding RNA of Marmota monax (woodchuck), 1090 nucleotides long. RefSeq lists it as uncharacterized. The record is from RefSeq and is a predicted model, not a curated record. NCBI's taxonomy places the organism in Eukaryota, Metazoa, Chordata, Mammalia, Rodentia, Sciuridae. The transcript has 2 exons.
CUGCCCUGAGUCCUUAAUGGAAGUUGGGUGAGAACCCGCUCCUGUUCAUUCAUGCCCCGCGCUGACGUCACCCAAGCCACGCCCCCAGGAAUGUCUUUAAAGGGGCCGGGCUGGCAUCCCGAGGGGAGGGAGGGAAAGUCCAGAGGGGUUUGGGUAAGACUUUGGGGCCCUCUGGACUCACCGGCGCCCCCCAGGCGCUCCAGUGUUUGCGUGUCUCAAAGCAUCAGCGCCCCCAUGCGCUAGUCCCCAGGGAUCUCGGAAUCCAGGAUGUUCGGCCCAAACGUGCGCUGAGCCAUCCCCGCUCGUCCUUUGCCUUUUGUGACUGAACUCAACGUUGGCCUCAGUCUAGGCAGAAAUGGGCCGGAUGUCCAAGAAGUAGUUGCCUCCUUAGCAUCAGUCCUGGGAGAGGAGGCCUGAAAUAAACCGGAUGCCUUCUAUCUUGGGACCUCUAAAGGGUGCACCAGACCCUGGAAGGACAAGGAGAGUUCCUUUGUUCAGGAGCCUCUAUGCUUACUGGGAUCUAGGAGCAACCCUCUUCGGGGAACAGGUCAGACAUGCCCUGAUUUAAUUCUCAUCUAGGAAGCAGCCAUCAUUGUCCACACUUUUUUAGAAGAGGAAAACUCAGGCUACAGAGUUUGUACCCCAUGCCCGAAGACUACAUAACUCACAGGGGCCUCUCCUCAAAGGUCCCUCAGACGUGAGUUCACAACCUCCCCUCUUGAUGGAAGUGGCUGAGGAACAAAUGGGAAAUGUCCUCUCAACUGACUGCCCAGCCAGUGGCCACCCACCCAGCCGCCCCCAGAUGCCUAUUGCCUUGUCACCAUUUGGCCAGUGUGAAAGGAACAGCUGCAGCUGGUCUGGUUUCCCAAGCUGCCCUCUGCUCGCCUCCUCUCUGACCCCAGCCUCUCCUCAACUCCCAUGGACCAACAGCCAUGCUGGGCUACUCAGGUACCCAGGUCCUCCUGCCAGAUGUGGACAGCUUGGUCUUGGCCUCUGCCCUUGCAAAGCGGGUCUGGACAUCUCCCCUGGAGGGGGAGAGGAAGGGUUAAUUACAGGUGUUGGGAUUAAUUAAAGCCUUUGAUCAAGAUGA